GAUGAGCAUGCGUCCUAUUAGCUUGUUGGUAAGGUAACGGCUUACCAAGGCUACGAUAGGUAGGGGUCCUGAGAGGGAGAUCCCCCACACUGGUACUGAGACACGGACCAGACUCCUACGGGAGGCAGCAGUGAGGAAUAUUGGACAAUGGGCGCAAGCCUGAUCCAGCCAUGCCGCGUGCAGGAAGACGCAUCUAUGGUGUGUAAACUGCUUUUGUACGGGAAGAAACACCCCCUCGUGAGGGGGCUUGACGGUACCGUAAGAAUAAGGAUCGGCUAACUCCGUGCCAGCAGCCGCGGUAAUACGGAGGAUCCAAGCGUUAUCCGGAAUCAUUGGGUUUAAAGGGUCCGUAGGCGGUCAGAUAAGUCAGUGGUGAAAGCCCAUCGCUCAACGAUGGAACGGCCAUUGAUACUGUCUGACUUGAAUUACUGGGAAGUAACUAGAAUAUGUAGUGUAGCGGUGAAAUGCUUAGAUAUUACAUGGAAUACCAAUUGCGAAGGCAGGUUACUACCAGUGGAUUGACGCUGAUGGACGAAAGCGUGGGGAGCGAACAGGAUUAGAUACCCUGGUAGUC
Molecule: ribosomal RNA, 574 nt
Filed under: uncultured Bacteroidota bacterium
Lineage: Bacteria; Pseudomonadati; Bacteroidota
Description: bacterial SSU rRNA
Rfam family: Bacterial small subunit ribosomal RNA
Source: RNAcentral